Molecule: unclassified non-coding RNA, 326 nt
Filed under: soil metagenome
Description: partial contains 5.8S ribosomal RNA, internal transcribed spacer 2, and large subunit ribosomal RNA
Rfam family: 5.8S ribosomal RNA (bases 1-120)
Source: RNAcentral
GAUGAAGAACGCAGCGAAAUGCGAUAAGUAAUGUGAAUUGCAGAAUUCAGUGAAUCAUCGAAUCUUUGAACGCACAUUGCGCCCCUUGGUAUUCCGAGGGGCAUGCCUGUUUGAGCGUCAUAUUAACCACUCCCGCUUGCGGGGUCUUGGGCUUCGCCUCCGGGCGGGCCUUAAAAUCAGUGGCGGUGCCGUCGGGCUCUACGCGUAGUAAAUUUUCUCGCGAUAGGGUCCCGGUGGAUGCUUGCCAACAACCCCCAACUUCUUAAGGUUGACCUCGGAUCAGGUAGGGAUACCCGCUGAACUUAAGCAUAUCAAUAAGCGGAGGA